UUUAUUGUUCUAUUAAAUGUUUAAUGUUCUAUUAAAACAUUUCCACUAUCGUAGUGUAAAUCAUGCCACGAAGUGACAGAAGAUAGUUGCAAUACUUUUCCAGAAUAAAGAAAUAAAGAGCUAUUCUAAAUCAAUGACAGUCUAAUUGAAAAAUGGGCAGAACUUGAACAACCAUUUCUCACAAUAGGAUAUCUAAAUGCCU
This 202-nucleotide long non-coding RNA is filed under the name Pan troglodytes (chimpanzee). RNAcentral describes it as "long non-coding RNA NONPTRT014232". Lineage: Eukaryota; Metazoa; Chordata; Mammalia; Primates; Hominidae. The record is from RNAcentral.